RNAcentral lists this small RNA (769 nucleotides) under Pan troglodytes (chimpanzee). RNAcentral's name for it is "retained intron". Lineage: Eukaryota; Metazoa; Chordata; Mammalia; Primates; Hominidae. The record is from RNAcentral.
UCCAGACCAUCCAAGAAGACGGUGCAGCCACCUCCGAGAGCCUGGAUGUGAUGGCGUCACAGAAGAGACCCUCCCAGAGGCACGGAUCCAAGUACCUGGCCACAGCAAGUACCAUGGACCAUGCCAGGCAUGGCUUCCUCCCAAGGCACAGAGACACGGGCAUCCUUGACUCCAUCGGGCGCUUCUUUGGCGGUGACAGGGGUGCGCCCAAGCGGGGCUCUGGCAAGGACUCACACCACCCGGCAAGAACUGCUCACUACGGCUCCCUGCCCCAGAAGUCACACGGCCGGACCCAAGAUGAAAACCCCGUAGUCCACUUCUUCAAGAACAUUGUGACGCCUCGCACACCACCCCCGUCGCAGGGAAAGGUAAGACCUUGGAAUGUUUCGAUUAAUCAUCACUUUUCUGAUAGACCUUCUCUAAAAUCCCAUAAUGUACCAAAGAGAGAGUUAGGCUCCGAGCUACCAGAAUCCAUCCCAAAACGUGUUGCCAGGCAGCUCCCGAGUAGAACAGGUCGGCAGAUCCAUGCACCCCUCCUGCCCCUCCCGCAACUGCACAGCCGCUGUGGCCCUAAGCCUGCGGCCCCCCUCGGAGCUCUGGGUGGAACCUGUUUUUACCACCUCAGCUCUACUGUGCUUUGAUUGUGUUUCCUGUUGAUUGAAAGGACUUUCCCUUCACUGACCACCAUGUCAUUAUUUCUCUGUCUUCCUCAUGCAGGGGAGAGGACUGUCCCUGAGCAGAUUUAGCUGGGUAGGUGACGAAUGCACUU